GAUGAAGAACGUAGCGAAAUGCGAUAAGUAAUGUGAAUUGCAGAAUUCAGUGAAUCAUCGAGUCUUUGAACGCACAUUGCGCCCCCUGGUGUUCCGGGGGGCAUGCCUGUCCGAGCGUCAUUGCCGCCCUCAAGCACGGCUUGUGUGUUGGGCCCCCGCCCCCCGGCUUCGGGGGGCGGGCCCGAAAGGCAGCGGCGGCACCGCGUCCGGUCCUCGAGCGUAUGGGGCUUCGUCACCCGCUCUGUAGGCCCGGCCGGCGCCCGCCGGCGACCCCAAUCAAUCUUUCCAGGUUGACCUCGGAUCAGGUAGGGAUACCCGCUGAACUUAAGCAUAUCAAUAAGCGGAGGA
This 348-nucleotide unclassified non-coding RNA is filed under the name soil metagenome. RNAcentral describes it as "partial contains 5.8S ribosomal RNA, internal transcribed spacer 2, and large subunit ribosomal RNA". The stretch from base 1 to 120 matches the Rfam family "5.8S ribosomal RNA", at positions 35 to 154 of the family's 154-position model. The record is from RNAcentral.